This 253-nucleotide ribosomal RNA is filed under the name uncultured bacterium. Its description in RNAcentral is "partial 16S ribosomal RNA". It matches the Rfam family "Bacterial small subunit ribosomal RNA", at positions 524 to 776 of the family's 1533-position model. The record is from RNAcentral.
UACGUAGGGGGCAAGCGUUGUCCGGAUUUACUGGGUGUAAAGGGCGUGUAGGCGGAGACGCAAGUCAGGAGUGAAAUCCCCGGGCUCAACCCGGGAACUGCUUUUGAAACUGCGUCCCUUGAGUAUCGGAGAGGCAGGCGGAAUUCCUAGUGUAGCGGUGAAAUGCGUAGAUAUUAGGAGGAACACCAGUGGCGAAGGCGGCUUGCUGGACGACAACUGACGCUGAGGCGCGAAAGCGUGGGGAGCAAACAGG